RNAcentral lists this ribosomal RNA (298 nucleotides) under uncultured bacterium. Its description in RNAcentral is "partial 16S ribosomal RNA". It matches the Rfam family "Bacterial small subunit ribosomal RNA", at positions 28 to 334 of the family's 1533-position model. The record is from RNAcentral.
GAUGAACGCUGGCGGCGUGCCUAAUACAUGCAAGUCGAACGAAUCACUUCGGUGGUUAGUGGCGAACGGGUGAGUAAUACGUAAGCAACCUGCCUAUGGGACUGGGAUAACGUUUGGAAACGGACGCUAAUACCGGAUAGGUAGAGAGGAGGCAUCUCUUCUCUAUUAAAGUUUAGAUACACCGAUAGAUGGGCUUACGGCGCAUUAGCUAGUUGGUGAGGUAACGGCUCACCAAGGCGAUGAUGCGUAGCCGGACUGAGAGGUUGAACGGCCACAUUGGGACUGAGACACGGCCCAA